RNAcentral lists this ribosomal RNA (562 nucleotides) under Halorubrum ezzemoulense. RNAcentral's name for it is "bacterial SSU rRNA". It matches the Rfam family "Archaeal small subunit ribosomal RNA", at positions 57 to 620 of the family's 1478-position model. Lineage: Archaea; Methanobacteriati; Methanobacteriota; Halobacteria; Halobacteriales; Haloferacaceae. The record is from RNAcentral.
GUCGCACGAGUUCAGACUCGUGGCGAAUAGCUCAGUAACACGUGGCCAAACUACCCUUCGGAACACAAUACCCUCGGGAAACUGAGGCUAAUAGUGUAUACCAUACCACCACUGGAAUGAGUGGUAUGCCAAACGCUCCGGCGCCGAAGGAUGUGGCUGCGGCCGAUUAGGUAGACGGUGGGGUAACGGCCCACCGUGCCAAUAAUCGGUAUGGGUCAUGAGAGUGAGAACCCAGAGACGGAAUCUGAGACAAGAUUCCGGGCCCUACGGGGCGCAGCAGGCGCGAAACCUUUACACUGCACGACAGUGCGAUAGGGGGAUCCCAAGUGCACAGGCAUAGCGCCUGUGCUUUUCGGUACCCUAAGGCGGUACCAGAAUAAGGGCUGGGCAAGACCGGUGCCAGCCGCCGCGGUAAUACCGGCAGCCCAAGUGAUGGCCGAUCUUAUUGGGCCUAAAGCGUCCGUAGCUGGCCGCGCAAGUCCAUCGGGAAAUCCACCUGCUCAACAGGUGGGCGCCCGGUAGAAACUGCGUGGCUUGGGACCGGAAGGCGCGACGGGUACGU